This 490-nucleotide ribosomal RNA is filed under the name uncultured bacterium. RNAcentral's name for it is "partial 16S ribosomal RNA". It matches the Rfam family "Bacterial small subunit ribosomal RNA", at positions 29 to 507 of the family's 1533-position model. The record is from RNAcentral.
AAUGAACGCUGGCGGCAUGCCUUACACAUGCAAGUCGAACGGCAGCAUGACCUAGCUUGCUAGGUUGAUGGCGAGUGGCGAACGGGUGAGUAAUGCAUCGGAACGUGCCUUUUAGUGGGGGAUAACGUAGCGAAAGUUACGCUAAUACCGCAUAUUCUCUGAGGAGGAAAGCAGGGGACCUUCGGGCCUUGCGCUAGAAGAGCGGCCGAUGUCGGAUUAGCUAGUUGGUGAGGUAAAGGCUCACCAAGGCAACGAUCCGUAGCGGGUCUGAGAGGAUGAUCCGCCACACUGGGACUGAGACACGGCCCAGACUCCUACGGGAGGCAGCAGUGGGGAAUUUUGGUCAAUGGGCGCAAGCCUGAUCCAGCCAUGCCGCGUGAGUGAAGAAGGCCUUUGGGUUGUAAAGCUCUUUCGGCUGGGAAGAAAUCGCACCCUCUAAUACAGGGUGUGGAUGACGGUACCAGCAUAAGAAGCACCGGCUAACUACGUG